This 90-nucleotide transfer RNA is filed under the name Candidatus Moranbacteria bacterium CG_4_9_14_3_um_filter_40_7. Its description in RNAcentral is "tRNA-Ser". It matches the Rfam family "tRNA". Rfam says of the family: Transfer RNA (tRNA) molecules are approximately 80 nucleotides in length. Their secondary structure includes four short double-helical elements and three loops (D, anti-codon, and T loops). RNAcentral also lists the same sequence under 2 other names. The record is from RNAcentral. Lineage: Bacteria; Candidatus Moraniibacteriota.
GGAAGGGUGGCUGAGUGGCCUAAAGCGGCACGCUGCUAAUGUGUUAGGGGAGAAAUCCCCUCCAGGGUUCGAAUCCCUGCCCUUCCGCCU